Long non-coding RNA from Hypanus sabinus (Atlantic stingray), 4809 nucleotides. RefSeq lists it as uncharacterized. The transcript is spliced from 3 exons. NCBI's taxonomy places the organism in Eukaryota, Metazoa, Chordata, Chondrichthyes, Myliobatiformes, Dasyatidae. The record is from RefSeq and is a predicted model, not a curated record.
CAAAAUGAUGCUGCAAGCAGUUGGGUAUCUCACAGCUCCAGGCACCCAGCUUCGAUUGUGACUUCUGUUGCAGAGUGGAGCUUGUGUAUUUUCCAUGAAUGGGACCCGCUCCCAGGUUUCAUAACCGGCCAUUAUUGUUCGGCACACCGGGAGCUCGGCCUGAAAGUCCGGCUCAGCGUUGGAAGCCUAGGAUCUCGGGGCUCUGGGGAUGGGCGAAUCAAAGGUCAUUUAAGAAAAUCACGAAGAGGAAGGGUCCCAGAACAGAUUCCUGCGGAACACCGCUGGUCAUCGACCUUCAUGCAGAAUUGUCUACUACCACUCUUUGCUGUCUGUGGGCAAGCCAAUUCUGGAUCCUUGGAUCCCAUGCCUCCUUACUGUCUGAAUGAGCCUUGUAUGGGGAACCUUAUCAAAUGCCUUUCUGAAAUCCAUAUAUACUACAUCCACUGCUCUACCUUCAUCAAUCUGUUUUGUUACAUCCUCAAAGAAUUCAUUCAGGCUCGUAAGGCAUGACCUGCCCUUGACAAAGCCAUGCUGACUAUCCCUAAUCAGAUUAAGUCUCUCCAAACGCUCAUAAAUCCUGCCUCACAGGAUCUUCUCCAACAACUUGCUAAGAUUCACUGGUCUAUAAUUUCCUGGGUUAUCUCUACUCCCUUCUUGAACAAGGGAACAACAUUUGCAACCCUCCAAUCCUCUGGAACUUCUCCCGUCCCUAUUCAUAAUGCAUAGAUCAUGCCAGAGGCUCAGCAAUCUCCUCCCUUGCUUCAUGCAGUAGCCCGGGGUAUAUCUUGUCCAGUCCCUGUGACUUAUCUAACUUAAUGCUUUUCAAAAUCUCCAGCACACGUUGAGAAAACAGGGAAGCAGCAGAAAGGCUUAGACAGAUUGGAAAAAUGAGCAAAGAAGUGCCAGAUGGAAUACAGUGUAGGAAAUUGCAUGGACAUACAUCUUGGUAGAAGGAAUAAAAGCAUAGACUAUUUUGUAAAUGGGGAGAAAAUUCAAAAUCAGAGUUUCAGAGUUACUUGGGAAUCCUUGUGCAGUGUGGUAAGGGAAGGAAAUGCAAUGUUAGGAUUUAUCCUGAGAGGACUAGAAUAUAAGAGAUAGAUAGAGUAGUUAAGGAGGAAAUGUUUUCUAUAGUGAGUGAAUCUAGAACAGAGGGCACAGCCUUAGAAUAGAUGGAUGCCCAUUUAGAACGGAGAUGAGGAAGAAUCUCUUUAGCCAGAGGGUAGUGAAUCUGUGGAAUUCAUUGCCAGAGGUGUCUGUGGAGGCCGAUUCAUUUAGUAUAUUUAAGUGGAGGUUGCUAGUUUCUUGAUUAGUCAAGGCUUCAAAUGUCAGGUGGAGAAGGCAGGGAAUGAAUUGAAAGGAAUACUAAAUUAGCCAUGAUGAAAUGACAGAGUAGACUUGAUGGGCCAAGUGGCCUAAUUCUGCUCCUGUGUCUUACAGACAUAAAUAUGAGUCAUAGAACACAACCUCCAAGAGGACCACAAACUUGUUACCUGAAGAACAAUGUCGGCUGGAGUCAGGGCCUUGUGAUUUGACUUCUGGUAGAGUCACCCAUGCCAAACAGAUCAAAAGGUAGAGGCCAGACUAAGAGUGGUCCUCUGGUCCUCCAGGUUCAAGGGUUCUGCUUAGGGCUAACAACCCUGGCUGUUCAAAAAAAAAUUGUUGCGAAAAGAGCAAUGAAGAAUCCUAUAUCUGUGUGUGACAGUAUUCCUGAGUGUCCACCUGGGAUUUGCAUGUCGGACAGUUAUGAAAACCGCAAGGAAGCUACUGGCAUGUUGAAGAAAGCCCUGAACAUGACCAAGAUCAAGACCAAUAUUAGGUUUUGGGACUACACACUUGUUCAAGUAUAAUACACUAGUUUUAGAUGGGCUGGAUGGCCUACUCCUGCUCCUAUUUCUUAUGUUCUUAUGCUCUUAACCAUGUACAACACUGGCAAGCUAGCAGAAAUAUCUGCUGAAAUUUGUCAUUGCAACCUACAUAUACUGGGUGUCAAUGAAAGCAGGUGGACAGGGUCCGACAGGCUAAAGGCAGCAACUGGUGAAGCAGUUUUAUACUCAGAAACGGAAGCUGGUACAGUGUCUACACUAAGAUGAAGCUGUACCAGAGCUGUGUUCUGUUCGCAUUCUUGUAUGGGCCAGAACACUGGCACAUGACGGGAGAACAAACUUGCCAAGCUGUUGUCAUUCCACAGCAUGAGUUUUUGGAAGAGUCUUCAUAUUUUCUGGCCAAGGAAGAUCUCCAACCAGGCCCUACUCGUUCAGUGUCACCAAGAGGACAUGGCCACAAUCAUCAUGAGGAAACGUUGGAGAAGGAUUGGAUAUGUGAUGAGAAGAGAUGUCAACUCCAUCAUUGAGGCAGCACUUUCUUGGACCCUUGAACAUGGAGGAAACACGGGAGACCAAAGGCAACUUGGUGCCAUACUGUAGGGCUGAAAUGAGAGCCCUGAACCACAUGGGGCACAAUAUAGAAGAUGGCCAAGGACAGACAGAGGUGGAGGAUCUUCAUUGCUGCCCUAGACACAAGUGAUGUAACAGGCGGUAACUAACUGGAACACAAGGGUUACAUUUUCUUUCAAAAAUCUCACAAGCCAACCCCACUGAAAUGUCAGCAUUCCCUAAACUGUCUAUCUUUACCAUUCACAAGGCAGAACCAGUGAGUGAAUAUGAACACCACCAGCUGUAAAUUCCUUCAAUAUCAUAUCACAUCCUAACUUAAUAUACACGUGUCUUUUUUGGGUCAAAAAUAAUGAAGGCCCUUCCUUCAUUAUAUAGACUGUAUCUGUUUUCCCAAAAGCUAUAAGCAUAUCGACUUUGGCUUUGCCUUAGAUGCUGAUGACACAUGACGAAUUAAAUAAAUUCUAUGUUCCACUACAAUACCCAUCUUGCCUUCCCUUUGUAACUGAUUAACUCAGUCUGUUUGUUUGACCAUAAUUAUUGACUAUAAGACCAUCUGAGCUCAACAUUUGCUUAGAACAUAGCUCCUAAAAGAGUAAACAGGCCCUUUAUCCCACGAUGCUGUGCAGGACUAAUUAAACUAGUAAGAAAAUGCCCGACUGAACUAAUCCCUUCUGCCUAAGCAAUAUCCAUAUAUACCUCUAGACUUCUAGUCCUGAGGAAUGGUCUUCAUUUGAAACAUCGCCUGUCCAUUUCCUUCUGAGGAAGCUGCCUUGACCUGCUAAGUUCCUGUGGAAAAUCACGUGGAAAGUAAAUGAGUGUUGGGUGCACGAAUGUUGAAAUAGAUUGUGGCCCACCUCUGUGCUGGAAAGGAGGGGCUGCAGAUUCUGUACAAAACACAUACUGGUCUAUCAAAAGCUCCCUGUUGCAUGGAAGGUCCUUGUAUUUCAUUAUACACACCCUUCAGCCCUCAGUGUAGGAUGUCCUUAUUCAAUUCUUUGUAACAGAACUCAUUUGUGACCUCGCCCUCCUGGAAAAUCAGCAUCUGAAUUACUCUUUGCCCUUCCCCAGGCUCCAGAAUCACUAGGCACAGAUCUCGCCUCCAAGCUGAUAUUAGAGUAAAGAGAGGAUCCAAUGAGUCGAAACAUUGAAUUUUUUGAAGGGCACCUUUUUAUUAAUUACUUGGUACUGUCCCACUGUCUGAACCAAGUGGAAAUUACACCAUACAACUUGUGAACUCUGAGAGAUUGUCAAAAGAAGGGAUAAAGAGACAUGAUAAGGAAGAUUGGGUAUAAAUAUACAUAUAUUAACAAAGGGCUCAAGUUUUAUAUUCAUUGAAAGAAGAUUCAGUAAGAGCCACUAUUGUUUCUGAUGACAGGGUAAAAUAUUCCACCUUCUAUUGCAAAAGAGAGAGAGAAGUGUAUUCAAGGCCUGCAAAUUGUUUCUGUUAAUGUACUAGUACAAUUGAUUGGUUAACAGUAUUUGUAAGCUGGAAGUGUUUUGGAAUGGUGAUGAUUGUGUGAGGUCUCUUGCCUAUUUGUAUGUCAGGUUUCAGCCCUGUAUAAACUGAGUAAACCAUUCAUUUUGAUCAUGACUAAUUUGAUUUUAAUUUUCUUGUGAAUCUCCAUAAUCCUUGAUUUUCCCUUUGGUGCAAUAUCUUCCCAAGCAUGUGUUGGAGGGAUAUCUAUGAGGUUAGUGAUGAAGUUGAUUGAAAGUGAGGAAAAGUUUGUGAUGUAUUUUCUGACGUUGAGCCAGUCUGAGAGAUCAUUGAGCUUCUCUGGCAAUAUGUCCAUAUCCUUGGCUACUCAUAUUGAUUGUACAAACUGUUUGUUCCCAGUCCAUUUGGAUACACAUUAAGAAGCUUUCUUGUUUCCUUUGUCUAGAGAACACCCUUUCUAUCUCUCUCCUCAUUUAGCAGAUUUCUAUAUCCACGUACAAAAUCAAGGUGCCUAUUCUUACCCUUGCCAUCUCUUCCUUCAAGCUUCUAUAGCACCAAGAAAGUAUUUCAUACUGGUCUCAGCCGUAAUCUUAUCUCAUUUAAGAAGUACAGACACAGCUGAGAUAUGCAAUAAGGCAGGAAACAACAUGGUUGGCAGAGGCUGGUCACUGAAGUCUUCAUAAUGUAAGUGCAGCAUGAACUCUUGAUUUGGAUCAAAUAAAUAUUGAUUGAUCACGUAUUGCAAUCCUUGCAUCUAUUUUCUGGCCUCCAUGUAACUUCAUAUCUGUGAAUCCAGAAGAUUUGGAAAAAACCUGCAGAGGACUGCAAACACAGCCAGCUCCAUCAUGGGCGAUAGCUUUCUCACCGUCGAGGACAUCCUCAAAAAGUGAUGCCUCGAGAAGCAGCAUCCAUCAUGAAGGAUGACCACCAUCGGGGACAUGCCUCCUUCUCAUUAUUACCAUCAAGGUUAAUGUACAGGAG